RNAcentral lists this ribosomal RNA (447 nucleotides) under uncultured bacterium. RNAcentral's name for it is "partial 16S ribosomal RNA". It matches the Rfam family "Bacterial small subunit ribosomal RNA", at positions 329 to 792 of the family's 1533-position model. The record is from RNAcentral.
UUCCAGACUCCUACGGGAGGCAGCAGUGGGGGAUAUUGCACAAUGGGGGGAACCCUGAUGCAGCGACGCCGCGUGGGUGAAGGAGCGUUUCGGCGCGUAAAGCCCUAUCGGCAGGGAAGAAGGAGGACGGUACCUGACCAAGAAGCCCCGGCUAACUACGUGCCAGCAGCCGCGGUAAUACGUAGGGGGCAAGCGUUAUCCGGAUUCACUGGGCGUAAAGGGAGCGCAGGCGGCACGGCAAGUCUGGUGUGAAAGCCCGGGGCCCAACCCCGGGACUGCAUUGGAAACUGCCGGGCUGGAGUGCCGGAGGGGUAAGCGGAAUUCCUAGUGUAGCGGUGAAAUGCGUAGAUAUUAGGAGGAACACCAGUGGCGAAGGCGGCUUACUGGACGGCAACUGACGCUGAGGCUCGAAAGCGUGGGGAGCAAACAGGAUUAGAUACCCUAGUA